Hyla sarda is the source of this 828-nucleotide long non-coding RNA. RefSeq lists it as uncharacterized. The transcript has 3 exons. The record is from RefSeq and is a predicted model, not a curated record. Lineage: Eukaryota; Metazoa; Chordata; Amphibia; Anura; Hylidae.
CACAUAUUCCAGAUGGGCAGUUGCAAGUUCCUCUGCAGUCCAUCCCAUAGGAGCCAUAUGGACAUUCUACGAUACAACAAGAUGGACAGAGAAGCAUUACAAUGUGCAGCAAAUUCAUUUCAAUUGCACUAAGCUGUAGAUAGCAAGGAGGAGCAGCACACCAGGGAUGCAGAGGAUGCAGACUUGCUUAUGCUUGAAAAAGACCAUGGUGACGGUCGAAACGUUGUAUCUUACCUUGAGAACAGGGAUCUGUCAAUGUCUGGACUUUACAACACGUUUGUGGCACAAACAAAAGAGAUUUUUGAGGAUCUUAGAAGAGUUGGUGAUGUUCAUCAGGCUGAGAAGGUUACAAAACUAUCUCUGAAGAGUUUGGACUCCACCAAUCCACAGUCAGAUUGUGUAUAAAUGGAGGAUUCUGAAGAGUGAAGACCAUUACGACCAUCCCCAGGAGUGGUCAACCAACAAUGAUCAUGCCAAGAGCAUGGCGUGUAAUUAUCCAAAAGAGAACCCAAGGUAACCCCUAAGCAACUUUCUCACAUUAGCUAAUAUUAAAGUUCACCAUCAGGAUCACACUGUACAACAAGGAUUUUUAUGGCACGAUUGCAAGAAGAAAGCCCCUGCUCUCCAAGAAGAACAUUGCUGCCCAUCUGCAGUUUGCUAAAGAACACUUGGACUAGCCAGAAGGCUAUUGGAACAAUGCUUUGUGGACAGAUAAGACCAAAAUAAAGCCUUUUGGUUUAAAAGAGAAGUAAUAUGUUUGGAGAAUGGAAAGCACUGCAUCUGGGCUAGGAUAGCCUGCCAUCAUUGAUGGUACAAUGAAUUCUGAAU